AUAUUUAAAGAAAGAUUUUUCGACCAAAUUCGGAUUAACUUAUUAGUAAUUAAUCAGCCGCAGGUUAACGUUGAAGACAACGAUUCGAAGAUUAUUGAUGUAAGUACAAAGGAUUUUUAUAUAUUGUUAUCGCGGCGAAAAAUUUCCAAUCACCCUGACGAUAUCUCAAAUAAUCUGUAGAUGGAAACUACAAUCUAUAUAUCAUUACGGAAAACAGUGAGAUAAUAAUAAGUGACAGCAUAUAUAGGAUAAGUAUGAUCUUCUUUUGUCCGAGAUAAAAUAAUACGGCGUAAAUAACUUGUGAAAGAAGCGUAGAGAUCUUCACGAUUACUCGCUAUAUUAUACACAUAUCUUUAUUUUAUACAGAAACUCUCUCUAUAAAAGUCUUAUUCUCUCUAAAUUAUUCUUUUUAAAUUUUUUUGGAGUGGAUUCUUAGAAAGAAAGCAUUGAAAGAAAGCAUCUCAACUUUCAAUCUUUAAGAGUUAGAUUUCACUUUUUAGAGUGAGAUUGACUCUAAAUUAAGAUUUUAGAAUGUUACAAAAAUUGUAUUUUAAUUCCAGGACGCAAUCUUAUUAGCAUAACAGAAAAAAACAAAUAAAACACGAAUAACGAGAAGCAUCAGCUUCCCUGAAACCUGUUACAAAAUCCUGUAUUUCACACGCAAAAUAUUUUCGUCAAUUAUUUUGUGUCGCACGAUGGUUGAAUUUAUUGUUUGUGUUUAUAUCCGUUAAUCGUGUUUGCUCGUGAUGACGUUCGACUGGAAGACCAUGUAAUCCCACUGUCGCCAAAUGCCAAACAAAAGCUGUCGAGCAAAUAAAUAAACUCAAUGAGAGAUUAUUGCGCGCGAUAAGGCGAUCUCUGUGAAUACGCGUUUUAGGAUACGUGUCGUCGCGUGUCCGCAGACUAGUUCGAAUAGCCAUUAUUUCGCAAUCGUACUGCAUUAUUCUUUCCACGUACGAAUAAUUUACAAUUCAAAUUCAAGCUUCAAUGUCACCAAUAAAUUUCCGAGUUCUCCACCAGAUUUUUUGUUUGUGUGUGAAUUAACAUACGACGUAUUAUAAGUUUUUUGCAUAUGCACCAGGAACUGCAGUGGACGAUUACUCGUAUUUAUUUGUCAUUCUGGUAAAAAUCAUGGAAACGAACAAAAAAAAUCGAAUCAAUAAGACAUCGAAAUGGGAAGAUACAAAUUCCGAGGCCGACGAAAAAUAUCGUUAGACACAUGGGACUCGCGA
Molecule: long non-coding RNA, 1232 nt
Organism: Acromyrmex echinatior (Panamanian leafcutter ant)
Lineage: Eukaryota; Metazoa; Arthropoda; Insecta; Hymenoptera; Formicidae
Source: RefSeq, a predicted model, not a curated record